This is a long non-coding RNA of Cercocebus atys (sooty mangabey), 1941 nucleotides long. RefSeq lists it as uncharacterized. The record is from RefSeq and is a predicted model, not a curated record. Lineage: Eukaryota; Metazoa; Chordata; Mammalia; Primates; Cercopithecidae. The transcript has 5 exons.
ACUCAGAGCCUUUGUUACACUCCUUAUGACUCACACUUAGUAAUGCUCACCCAAUUACCUUUGCUAGUAUAUCUUCAUCUUGUUAAAGUGUUUGAGAAAUGCUUUGGAGAUUCUAAUAAGUUCAAAUGAGCAUUAAAAAUGAGAGAGAGUAGAAGUAUCUCUUGAGAAAGAUUAAAAAGUGAGCACAGGCUGGGUGCAGUGGGUCAUGCCUGUAGUCUCAGCACUUUGGGAGGUCGAGGUAGGCAGACUGCUGGAGCUCAGGAGUUUGAGACCAGCCUGGACAACAUGGAAAAAUCCCGCUUCUACAAAAGGACUGUUUUCUAUUUGAUUGGGAAGUGUUAGAAUGGCAACAGUGACAAAUCCUGUGGCAAAUCUUCGUGCAAAGGUCUUUAGUGUUUCUUUAAUUUCAUAUAUAUUACCUACUAUGUGACAAGCACACUGUGCCAAGUUCCAAAUAUAAAAGAGUAAAUUAAGGAAUGCAUUAUAGCUGUUAAAGCAAUCUUAAGGGAAAUCCGAAGCUUCCACUGCAGCACCAUGCUUAGUAAGUAAUAAAUUACAUGUUAUAGUUAUUUGCCUUAAUUCAUGCUAAUUUUGUCCAAUUAAUGUAUCACAGUAAUUCAGAAGCCUGUCACAGGAGAGCUAAUUAUUUAUUGGAUUUUUGUGUUCAGCUCCCUAGGAGUCUACUAGCAAACAAACUUGCGACUGUCUUUCUCUCAAGUCCAUAGUGACAUUCUUAGGUCUCACUGUAGGGAAGUAAAAUUUUUGCUUCUGUUUCUAGUUUUAAAAAUGAAUUUUGGGGUAUCUAAGGCCUGUUCUUGGUUUUUUGAUUGAUGAAAUAGUUUGACAGCCUGCUGUUCUGUUAGGACAAGACCUACUUUCUUCCCUAUCAAACUAUUUCAUCUUAUGAAUCUGUAUAUUUCGGAACUCUCAUUAAGGAAAAAGACAGUUUUUAAAAAACUAUGCACCCAAGGUGAAUCGAAAAAGUGCAGCAAUUAUCUGGAUAAUUCACACCAGAAUUCCCCACUUAUAUUCCUUUUAUUAUUUUCAGAGCACUUCAACAGAUUGUGUAGAUACCUGUGUUCACCUCAUCUGCACAGUCUUGGUUCUAAACCUAAAAAAAGGCCACAUGCAAUAUGCUAAAAUGUUGUUUGAAAAAAGACUGAAUCUAACUCACAAUGACAAUUGAUAUCAGCUUUGUAAAAGUAGAUUUUUAUUUUACUGUGGUGCACUGCUAAUUCACAGGCCCCCAAAUGAAUUAUUUAUGAGAUUAAUUUGUUCAAUUCAUACCUAUAAAUAAUGUCACAGUUGCUAAAUAAUUUGCACACUUUGAUAAGAUGCAGAGAUCAGAGUCAAAGAGGCAGCGCUUCGCCAGCUGAAAAAUGUUCACUAUCUUCUGGAAUCCUGACAAACCCAGGCAUUUGCAGACAGUUAUUUGUAGAGAGUAGGAAGCAUCUGAUCUCCUGUUUUGCUCCCUCCUAUGAGUAUCAGGAGACACUUGUCUGCUGAUUAUCAUCUUCCAGCCAAAUGAAAAAGAGGUGAUACCUCUUUAAAUCCAUGAUGCAAUAAUGUUUACCAGCAAGUCCUAUCACAGUGAUCCAAGGUGACAGUAGGUAAAGCACACCACUGUUUGUGCCACACACAGAAAAACUUUACAACCCUCUUUAAUUUGAUGGGAGGAGGAAAUGACAUCUUUGUACCCAGCCACUUUAUACUAGCUUGUUUGCCUUUAACCAAUUGAGUAUCUGAGAAGCAGCACACUUCUCCAAGCUAUGUACAACUUUAUACUUCAAUGCAUGAUUACUUCAAAGGAAACUGCCACCACAUACUGUAUAAUGUUAUUUUUCCUUCCUCUCAGUUGUUUUUAUUACCCAUUCAAAACUGGAAAUAAAAAUUAUUUUCUUACCAAUUAGCUGUCUUCUCCAUAUGGCACUGAGGUUUCAA